This is a non-coding RNA of Mycena latifolia, 96 nucleotides long. Lineage: Eukaryota; Fungi; Basidiomycota; Agaricomycetes; Agaricales; Mycenaceae. The record is from the annotation of a GenBank genome assembly.
GGCUCGGUGGUGGAUGGUCCACACCUGCUUCUUGCCUGAAAUAAUUCUGGCAGCAUUAGCCAGCAGGAACUGCCUGUUCGACUCAGGCCCGAGCCA